CCUACGGGAGGCUGCCGUGGGGAAUAUUGGACAAUGGGGGCAACCCUGAUCCAGCCAUGCCGCGUGUGUGAAGAAGGCCCUCGGGUUGUAAAGCACUUUCAGUGAGGAAGAACGCCUGGUGGUUAAUACCCAUCAGGAAAGACAUCACUCACAGAAGAAGCACCGGCUAACUCCGUGCCAGCAGCCGCGGUAAUACGGAGGGUGCGAGCGUUAAUCGGAAUUACUGGGCGUAAAGCGCGCGUAGGUGGCUUGAUAAGCCGGUUGUGAAAGCCCCGGGCUCAACCUGGGAACGGCAUCCGGAACUGUCAAGCUAGAGUGCAGGAGAGGAAGGUAGAAUUCCCGGUGUAGCGGUGAAAUGCGUAGAGAUCGGGAGGAAUACCAGUGGCGAAGGCGGCCUUCUGGACUGACACUGACACUGAGGUGCGAAAGCGUGGGUAGCAAACAGGAUUAGAUACCCGUGUAGUC
Molecule: ribosomal RNA, 465 nt
Filed under: Vreelandella stevensii
Lineage: Bacteria; Pseudomonadati; Pseudomonadota; Gammaproteobacteria; Oceanospirillales; Halomonadaceae
Description: partial 16S ribosomal RNA
Rfam family: Bacterial small subunit ribosomal RNA
Source: RNAcentral